AUUAAAUUGCCGAGUUUGCCUUGCAAACUAAAUUAUUAUAUGCCGUUUCUCAUUGCAUUACGAAACGGCUGGAAUUCAUCAAUGCUAGAUUUUUGAUAAAAUCUGCGCUUGAUGAAUUUAUAG
Regulatory RNA element from Treponema pedis str. T A4, 123 nucleotides. It matches the Rfam family "TD-1 RNA". From Rfam's summary of the family: non coding RNA found in Treponema denticola Lineage: Bacteria; Pseudomonadati; Spirochaetota; Spirochaetia; Treponematales; Treponemataceae. The record is from Rfam.